GGUAGCUCACCAGAUGUUGGUCUUGCCAGGAAGAGAAGGUCAUGGACACUAGCAUGGCCUUCACAAUGAAGCUCAUGUGUGAAUAAAGAUCCAGCUUCUUAUAGGGUUACAAAGAAGGACAUCACGUCUUUGGUGCUUGGCCGAUGGCUUGAAAACUCUGCUCUCCUCCUAAGGACAUCAUCUGGUCUGCUUCAGAGUUGUUGGGAAAGAAGCCAUCGAGAUGACGAAGGAAAAGAAAAGAGGAUGUCUGAACAGCGCCAUUGCAAACCUGAGCUGCAGUGCAGUCAAGCUCCCGCCACUCAUGUGAAUCGAAAAGAACCUGGCUUAGUUUAGAUCUGGAGGGGCUGCAGCCACCCUUGACCUACCGUUUUCGGCUCCCAGCUGUUCAACAACAGCAGCAACAAGAUGACCUUUACAGCAAGCAGAAUGGGGCUGCUGACUGGAAUGGCGUUUGCAUGAAAGCUCCGUUUUAUUCUGCAGGUUCCUAGACUGAGAAUGUGCCUGGAAGUUCCCAGUUCCUUAUUCUAAACUCAUCUCUCUUGAGUCUGUCUCUGGCUGGCGAUUUGCUUCAUUCUAAUAAAAGCAGACAA
Python bivittatus (Burmese python) is the source of this 590-nucleotide non-coding RNA. NCBI's taxonomy places the organism in Eukaryota, Metazoa, Chordata, Lepidosauria, Squamata, Pythonidae. The record is from RefSeq and is a predicted model, not a curated record.